Molecule: ribosomal RNA, 253 nt
Filed under: uncultured bacterium
Lineage: Bacteria
Description: partial 16S ribosomal RNA
Rfam family: Bacterial small subunit ribosomal RNA
Source: RNAcentral
UACGUAGGGUGCGAGCGUUGUCCGGAAUUAUUGGGCGUAAAGGGCUCGUAGGCGGUCUGUCGCGUCGGGCGUGAAAACUCAGGGCUUAACCCUGAGCCUGCUUCCGAUACGGGCAGACUAGAGGUAUGCAGGGGAGAAUGGAAUUCCUGGUGUAGCGGUGAAAUGCGCAGAUAUCAGGAGGAACACCGGUGGCGAAGGCGGGUCUCUGGGCCGAUACUGACGCUGAGGAGCGAAAGCGUGGGGAGCGAACAGG